RNAcentral lists this ribosomal RNA (209 nucleotides) under uncultured Syntrophus sp. Its description in RNAcentral is "partial 16S ribosomal RNA". It matches the Rfam family "Bacterial small subunit ribosomal RNA", at positions 1175 to 1382 of the family's 1533-position model. The record is from RNAcentral. Lineage: Bacteria; Pseudomonadati; Thermodesulfobacteriota; Syntrophia; Syntrophales; Syntrophaceae.
UGGGAUGACGUCAAGUCCUCAUGGCCUUUAUGCCCAGGGCUACACACGUGCUACAAUGGGUGGUACAAAGAGAGGCAAGCUCGCGAGAGUAAGCAAAUACUCAAAAAGCCAUCCUCAGUUCGGAUUGGAGUCUGCAACUCGACCCCAUGAAGUCGGAAUCGCUAGUAAUCGCGGAUCAGCAUGCCGCGGUGAAUACGUUCCCGGGCCUU